UGCAGCUGCUUUGUUUUCUGCGAAUAGGAGACCAGGCGGCGGCGGCACCAGCAGCAGCAGCGGAUACAUAGCUCAUUGCCAGCUUACAUUUGAAGCGUACGAAUUUUGCGUGAAUAAAACCACCGGUUAUGACUGUAAUAACUACUUCAAAAGGAGGGAAGAAUGCCGUGAUUUUAAGAGAAAGCUGGAGGAAUUUGCCCAGAGGGAAGCAGCUGCUUGUACGGCUCUAAAGGAG
Molecule: long non-coding RNA, 235 nt
Organism: Quercus lobata
Lineage: Eukaryota; Viridiplantae; Streptophyta; Magnoliopsida; Fagales; Fagaceae
Exons: 3
Source: RefSeq, a predicted model, not a curated record